This 256-nucleotide ribosomal RNA is filed under the name uncultured Gardnerella sp. RNAcentral's name for it is "partial 16S ribosomal RNA". It matches the Rfam family "Bacterial small subunit ribosomal RNA", at positions 99 to 354 of the family's 1533-position model. Lineage: Bacteria; Bacillati; Actinomycetota; Actinomycetes; Bifidobacteriales; Bifidobacteriaceae. The record is from RNAcentral.
CGAACGGGUGAGUAAUGCGUGACCAACCUGCCCCAUGCUCCAGAAUAGCUCUUGGAAACGGGUGGUAAUGCUGGAUGCUCCAACUUGACGCAUGUCUUGUUGGGAAAGUGUUUAGUGGCAUGGGAUGGGGUCGCGUCCUAUCAGCUUGUAGGCGGGGUAAUGGCCCACCUAGGCUUCGACGGGUAGCCGGCCUGAGAGGGCGGACGGCCACAUUGGGACUGAGAUACGGCCCAGACUCCUACGGGAGGCAGCAGNU